Dermacentor silvarum is the source of this 2208-nucleotide long non-coding RNA. RefSeq lists it as uncharacterized. The transcript is spliced from 2 exons. The record is from RefSeq and is a predicted model, not a curated record. NCBI's taxonomy places the organism in Eukaryota, Metazoa, Arthropoda, Arachnida, Ixodida, Ixodidae.
UCAAAUGCAGUUACAGUACUCGAUAUGUGGGCGGUUCUUCACUUAAACAAAGUUGAUCCAUGGUAAAAUGAAGGUAGCGCGAGCAGCAAGGACAAUAAGCACUUGUGAUGUACACCUUUUCGUCUUAAUUGUUUGCUGCACUGCCUUCAUUUCAUCACAAAAGUGCACUAUAUGUUUCUCAACAUUGUUGGUGAAUGUGAACCGCGGCUGAAGCUUCUGUGAUAGCAGUGACCUGUUGCCAAGGGACCCUGAUCAAAAGAUUGGGAGCAAGUGUCAUCCCGGAUACUGAUGACAAUAUAAGCACAAUACGAGAAACAAAGCUGCCGCCACUUGCUGCAUACACUAAACUUCCCUUAUUGCUAAUCAACCCACCUGAGUUUUAAGUGAAACAGAAGAGAAACUAAAACUUUGAAUGAAGAAGUAACUUUGCUGCUCAAAGAUAAAGUUAAUUCGAGGGAUCAGCCCAUGGCAAAUCUUUAAGGGGCGCAAAUGUGCUCAUCCGGCUCCAUCCAAGUCUAUCUGAAUCAUUAGAAAAUUUUCUGCUGUAUGAUGGGAUGCUGAUAAGUAUUUAGCACUACCUAGAAAAAAUUUAACAAGGUAGCUAGUUAUAAAAUUCCCGGGUGUAUUGGCUAGUUUGUCAGUAUUCUAUGGUGGAAAAAUCAGCUGGCUAUGUUUUAAGCUUGCAUUUUUUUUUUUUAAUUGUAAAGUGGUUAUGGCAGCAUCUCCAGAAAAGUUCAGCGUGGAAGAAAAUAGGACAAUGGGAUGACAGUGAGUGUUUGACGACCGGAUGGCAAAGCUAGGUUACGACGAAGCUGUUAGACAACUUAUGCCAUUGAGUCAGUGUAGAAGACGUGAUGACGAUGGCAUGACGAGUCAAAUCACGAAGCUGGAGUGACGAUGAUGGAACGACCACAAUAGAUAGAUGGAUAGGCUCAAAACGGCUGAAGCAGGCAAAGAAUGCUAAUCACAUUAAAAACUGUCAUGUAAGUACUAUAACUGUCCAUGCUGGCCGUCAGAAACACACGCAUGCAAACUUCUAAAAUAUAAAAGGAAAAUUUUACCGAAGCAUGCCCUUUGUAACAGGGUCGUAUAUGUAACGAGAAAUUAUAAACUUUAUCGUCAGCCAUUCAUAGCAGUAUAAGCUGGUUCUUUAUUCUAUGUAGCAGCAGGCAGCGACACAUAUGCAUGCACAUAUAUGCUACCAUUGCACCCACCCACUGCAGAUGUGUUGUGUGCAAGUGCAGAAGGAUACACUGAUGGGCAAGUUGGUAUGACAUCGUGUGCAGUGUAGUUAGUGCAAGCAGAACCCACAAGGCAACAUACAAGCACUGUGUCCCCGUCUUUUCUGUUGCCUUGUGUGUUCUGUUUGCGCUACGCUGUACAUGGGGCAGAAGCAACAUGCUGCGCAGUUGAGGUUGCAGAGUAAAAACUUAACCUCUAGCAAAUGAGAGAAGUUAAGCGCGAUCGAGUAGCAGAAAUGGUGGCGGAACGACAUGAGGCUCGCUUGGCACGGAGGUGUGAAGCUUGGAAACGGCAAAUAUCGGUGGUUCCUCUGGAACAGUGACAGGCUGCAUUGGAAGAAAAUCGAGAAGAGGAACACCGGUGAAUAUCUAAGCCAGGUUCUAUCGGAGCAAUUGUAAAAGGGAGCAAUCGCAUGCAAGUUGAAUGGCAAAAUGAAUGAGUUGUAAGUACAGCAGUGAGACAAGUAAAUAUACAUACCGUAUAUCGCGUCAUAAGUGCAUAUGUGAUAUGCAUGGCUUGUGUGAUGAACACACCGAGGUGAAGACAAGCUGCUGUCGAGACUUGGAAGAAAGUGCUAGUGAAGCAUAAACACACACACGCGCAAAACUGCACUUUUAAAUCAUGAUAAAGCCCAUCUAAAGGGAUCCCAAAACAAUUUUAAGCUUGUGUUCGAAUACACAGAGUUGGUAAGGUUGGUCUUCAAAAAGUGUCUAACAACAUCUGCAUUGCUACAGAUUGUAGUGGCUCUGCUCCCUGUGUUUUUCACACAUCUCUGCCCGUUCUGUGUAGAACGGGGCGAAUGAUGUCACUCUGGUGAGCAGUAUGAUUGGCUUACCACUUGAUGUCAUUGGAAAUACAUGAAGCAUGCCGCUUCAAUAACUCUGGCCCGCAUGGUUCAUGUGCACAUAGUAUUUUGGGCAUCUGUCAAUAUAAGUACACAUGCAAUAAAGUUUCUAUUUCUUCAAA